GAUACUGCAACAGAUUAUGACACAUGGGUACCCCAUGAAACAAGUAAUGAAAAAGGAAAUAUACAAGGAUGUCUGCUGGGAAAUAAAGAAACGUUUAAAAAAGUAAAAAAAGACUCAUGGUAUGUUAAAAGUGUUGAGUGAAUUGAGAUUUUUUAUACAAUAGGAGUUUUUCUCCUGUUUUGUAGCAAGUACAAAUAAAUUUCAUAACUUAGUGGUAUCCUUAACUUAACCCGACAAUUGAAACUUUAUCAUUGUUUCUAAUAUCUCAAAGAAUUCAAUAUACAUUUAGUUGAAACACUGACAGCAAACAGGACCCCAAAAUGAACUGGUUAGGAAACAGAAAUAUUCAUAUCGUAUUCGGCCGUGUAUAGUACGCAUUUAUACAUAGUCCGCACCCCCUCUUCAUCCCCUUAAAAUCGAGAAAAAAAAGUUUUGUAAAAAAGUUUUUUUUUUUUGUUUUUUUUUUUAUAAAAGUGAAGUUCACUGUAAAAAUCCAAAUGUAUUUAAUAGAAAAAAAAAUGUGUUUUUUUUUUUUUUUUUAAAUAAUAAAAUGGUAGAGCUUUUCAUCAGGUAAUUCAUAUUUGAUAAUUUUAUAAAAGUAGUUAUCAUCAAAAGAUCUCUUUUAAAAUCAACAUUUGUCUAAGUUUGUCCAAGCUGAUAUAUAAUAUAACAGAAAUAAUUUGAAUAUUAUGGAACAAAAGAAAAAAGAGAUCAAACAUUUAUCUAAACUAAUUAGCAGUAAUCAAAAUUUUAAAACUAUUUAAUCUUAUAUAAUCUUUUCAUUGAUCAUGUUGUUUUUUUGCCUGGGAUUAUAAUAUCUAACACCUGUCAAAACUUGACAUCAUAAUUUAAUUGCUACACACCCAUACUUAAUCCUUAAUUACCCGUCUUAAUUACCUAUGCAGGAUGUCACACUUUCACUUUGAAUAAUCAAUUUUGAAGAGAAAAGUUAAAAAAGAAUAAGAUUUGAAUGAAAUAAAUAUCAUAAACGUCUCCAAUAUUCAUAAUUCAGGGAAAAAAAAAGAAAAAAAAAAGAUUUUUUUUUUUUAUGAAUUUCGAAAACCGUCUUUAGUUGUGUAUAGUCCACAUCCCUUGUACAAACUACAUAUUUAAGGAAAAAAAGUGCGGACUCUACAUGCCCAAAUACGGUUUAACGCUUUAUUGAAAUGAUUCAUUAUGUUCAAGUUGAAUAGUUAAUCAAUACAAAACUGUUAAAUAUGUCUGAAUUUUUGUCCUUUUGAAGGUGCUAUAAUGGUGCAGAUCACCCAUUGGAACAUACAGGAGAAGCAUGUACAUGUGUCAGGGAUGAUUAUGAAUGGUAAGAUAUGUAUAAUGGCUAGUGUUGUGAUAUAUUGAGUUAAUUGUCAUAAUAGAGAUGUCAGAGACAUAUAAUGCCAAAUUUUUAAAACUGCUAUAUUAAAUACAGAUAUAAUAUUAGACUGUAUAAUUAUAUUUUUAUCAAUCACCUCUUUAAAGAUUUUCUCCACUACAGCAUAUUUUCAAUCAACGCUUGAAAGUUUUUAUUUUUUUCCCGUUUUAAAUAAAGAUAUUAUGGACAAAAAAAGUAGAACAUCAUCCAAAAAUGAAAAUUAACAGAUGUCCCACAAAAAAGGAUGGUGUACUGACUUUUGAUGAAAUUUCUGUAAGUUCCUAAUCACUGGUAAUACUCAUUUCUGCACGUUAAAGACACUUGUAGAUUUUCAUAAGAGCAGUCCUAUGUGGCUACAAGGCAGCACUCUUAUCAGCAAAGUGGAAAAGGAUUAAUAUUAGUUGUAAUAAUUUUUUUCCCAAUCCACUAUACAUAAAAAUGAUUAAACUAAAAACAUAAUACAUGUGUUAUAUAAAUAUUUCAGUGAUUAUGGGUUUUACCGACCUGAUGGUAGGGAUGAUUGUGUAGAACAACCUAAUUUCAAUUUACCUAAGGUGGAUGUAUGUAAACAAGGUCACGAAGAACAAGUUAUAACACAGGGGUAGGUAUCAUUAUUUUAAAUCAAUUUAACUGGUCAUGAAGAACAAGUUAUAACACAGGGGUUGUAAUAAUUAUUUUAACUUAAUUUAACUGAAGUUGAUACACCUUAUCGCUAUUUGUCUGCCAUUACAAGACAUCACAAGUGGAAAGUGAUUGUUGUAUGAUGUCCAAAGUUCAAGCGGGACAGAUUAUCGGGUCAAGUGGAAAGAGCGAUAAGCUGAUUUAUGGAAGCAAGAGUCUCUCCCUCAUUGACAUAAAGGUACAUUUUAUCUGAAACUUAUAUCACAUAAGAAAUAAUAUUUAUUGUUUUUUAUAGCAAGUGAGAAUUUGUUAACGGCUCAAAUUUUUAAAUUUCAAUAUAAUAAUGACCAAUAUGUCCUAUUCCUCCUUAAACUUUAAACACACAUGUUUUUUGCCAUAGAUAGGGGCAUAUUUUCCAAAGUAAAAAGUUGUGAAGGAAGAAGACAGAUUACUCAAUACAUAAAAAAAGACUUUCCUGACUAUGGGUGCAAUCAACAGUAUUUUUCUAUGAUGUCAUGUUUUAAGGGACCAUGCAUAUGUGACCCUUACUGGUGGACUGAUUAAUAAAGAUACUUGUAUAAAACUAGAUAUCACUGGAAUCAGAAUGCUCUCUGGUUUAUAAUGAAAUAAAAAUAAUGUGUACUUUUAAUAUAUUAUAAAAAUUUCAUCCAAUGAACAUGGGGGGAAAAAAGGUAUAAUUUUAACAUAAAAAACUUGAAAUCAGGUCAAGUGCACACCCAUGUCAGACAUGAUCCAUGCACAUUUUGCAUAAUCAAAACUGUAUGAAUAUUGUAGGUUUUUACCUGGCCUUUCAAAAAAAUCUUGUUUCAGGGUUCGAUUUCCUGCUCCGAAAAGAGCUACAGUGGCUGCAAAUAAGUUUUCAAUUUUCACUGCUAAAAAAACAGACUGUUUACAGUGUUGUCUCCCCUAGAAACAUGUUUAUUUAAUAUAAUUUUUAAAAUUAUUUCAAUCAUUCAACCUGUUUUGAUUUAAAGCUAAUUAACUAAUUUUUACAAACAAAUACAAAAAACAUGAUACUUUUUCACCAAGUAAGUAAAUAAACAGGGGUUUUCCUCCAUAGUUAUUUUUAGACGGGGAAUAAUCCCUAGUUUUUAGUACGAAACUGUUUAUAGCACCCUAUGAGACAGGUAGCAUUGAUAUAUUGUUUACAGAAUUGUAAUACAAUGUAUUUUGUUUUUUCACAGAUAUAGAAAAAUACCAAAUGAUAAAUGUGUUGGAGGGUUUUCGCCAAGUGGAAAAAUGUUAAAUUUAGGUGAACAGUGUGCAUCAAAACAUGAGGGUCAGAUAGAUGUGGAGGAAGUACCACAAGAAACAAAGG
This 3329-nucleotide long non-coding RNA is filed under the name Mytilus galloprovincialis (Mediterranean mussel). The record is from RNAcentral. Lineage: Eukaryota; Metazoa; Mollusca; Bivalvia; Mytilida; Mytilidae.